AAUGGCUCAUUAUAUAAGUUAUCGUUUAUUUGAUAGUACCUUACUACUUGGAUAACCGUGGUAAUUCUAGAGCUAAUACAUGCUAAAAACCCCGACUUCGGAAGGGGUGUAUUUAUUAGAUUAAAAACCAAUGCCCUUCGGGGCUCACUGGUGAUUCAUAAUAACUUCUCGAAUCGCAUGGCCUUGCGCCGGCGAUGGUUCAUUCAAAUUUCUUCCCUAUCACUUUCGAUGCUAGAGUAGUGUCUAGCAUGGUUACCACCGGUUACGAAGGGUUAGGGCUCAACCCCGGA
Molecule: ribosomal RNA, 290 nt
Filed under: Colletotrichum graminicola
Lineage: Eukaryota; Fungi; Ascomycota; Sordariomycetes; Glomerellales; Glomerellaceae
Description: partial 18S ribosomal RNA
Rfam family: Eukaryotic small subunit ribosomal RNA
Source: RNAcentral